This 408-nucleotide long non-coding RNA is filed under the name Phascolarctos cinereus (koala). Its description in RNAcentral is "lncRNA (ENSPCIG00000034839.1)". Lineage: Eukaryota; Metazoa; Chordata; Mammalia; Diprotodontia; Phascolarctidae. The record is from RNAcentral.
GGGGCGCGUCGCCGAGGGGGCAGCGCGAGCUCAACCCGGGGCCCCUGCGGCCUAGGCGGGGAGUGUCGGGUUCAGUGUGGUUGAAACGAAACAAGUCUGAUAAAGUGAUCUCAAGGGGUGCGGUUUCAGUUGAGAACUGAUGAUAGAAAAGGAAGAUGUCCAAAGAUAAAAAGCAAGUCUGAAAGCAGGAAGGCAAAUAGAAGGAGGAAGCAAGAGUUGAGAGGAAAUAGAACAGAAGGAAGACAGAUUUCGAUGGAGCCAGCAGGAAAAAACAAAGACUUCAACAAAUAUUAGACACCUGCUAUAUGCAAUGAACCAUGAUACACACUUGGUAUAAAAGACAGAAAGAAAGAAAGAAAGAAAGAAAGAAAGAAAGAAAGAAAGAAAGAAGAAAGAAAGGAGUUUACA